CCUACGGGAGGCAGCAGUGAGGAAUAUUGGUCAAUGGGCGGGAGCCUGAACCAGCCAAGUCGCGUGAAGGAAGAAGGUACUUAGUAUUGUAAACUUCUUUUGUCGGGGAACAAAGGCGGAGACGCGUCUCCGGAUGAGUGUACCCGAAGAAAAAGCAUCGGCUAACUCCGUGCCAGCAGCCGCGGUAAUACGGAGGAUGCGAGCGUUAUCCGGAUUUAUUGGGUUUAAAGGGUGCGAAGGCGGGAGGUAAAGUCAGCGGUAAAAUGGCGGGGCUCAACCCCGGCGGGCCGUUGAAACUGGUUGUCUAGAGAUGGAGAGAGGUAUGCGGAAUGCGUGGUGUAGCGGUGAAAUGCAUAGAUAUAGCGAAGAACUCCGAUUGCGAAGGCAGCAUACCGGCGGCAAACUGACGCUGAGGCACGAAAGCGUGGGGAUCGAACAGGAUUAGAUACCCUAGUAGUC
RNAcentral lists this ribosomal RNA (459 nucleotides) under uncultured bacterium. RNAcentral describes it as "partial 16S ribosomal RNA". It matches the Rfam family "Bacterial small subunit ribosomal RNA", at positions 338 to 795 of the family's 1533-position model. The record is from RNAcentral.